UGCCAGCAGCCGCGGUAAUACAGAGGGUGCGAGCGUUAAUCGGAAUUACUGGGCGUAAAGGGUACGUAGGCGGUUAAUUAAGUCGGAUGUGAAAGCCCAGAGCUUAACUCUGGAAUUGCAUCCGAUACUGGUUAACUAGAGUACAGUAGAGGGAAGCGGAAUUCCUAGUGUAGCGGUGAAAUGCGUAGAUAUUAGGAGGAACACCAGUGGCGAAGGCGGCUUUCUGGACUGAUACUGACGCUGAGGUACGAAAGCGUGGGGAGCAAACAGGAUUAGAAACCCCCGUAGUCC
This 291-nucleotide ribosomal RNA is filed under the name uncultured bacterium. RNAcentral describes it as "partial 16S ribosomal RNA". It matches the Rfam family "Bacterial small subunit ribosomal RNA", at positions 506 to 796 of the family's 1533-position model. The record is from RNAcentral.